Molecule: unclassified non-coding RNA, 220 nt
Filed under: plant metagenome
Description: partial contains small subunit ribosomal RNA, internal transcribed spacer 1, and 5.8S ribosomal RNA
Source: RNAcentral
UUUCCGUAGGUGAACCUGCGGAAGGAUCAUUACAGAGUUCAUGCCCUCACGGGUAGAUCUCCCACCCUUGAAUAUUUAUACCUUAGUUGCUUUGGCAGGCCGUGGAAACACCAUGGGCUCCGGCUUAUGCGUGCCUGCCAGAGGAAACAAACUCUGUUUUUAGUGAUGUCUGAGUACUAUAUAAUAGUUAAAACUUUCAGCAACGGAUCUCUUGGUUCUG